GAUGGUUAGCUGGUCUGAGAGGAUGAUCAGCCACACUGGAACUGACACACGGUCCAGACUCCUACGGGAGGCAGCAGUGAGGAAUUUUGCGCAAUGGGGGAAACCCUGACGCAGCAACGCCGCGUGAGUGAUGAAGGCUUUCGGGUCGUAAAGCUCUGUCAAGUGGGAAGAACUUGUCUGGUGCGAAUACCACCGGACACUGACGGUACCACUGAAGGAAGUACCGGCUAACUCCGUGCCAGCAGCCGCGGUAAUACGGGGGGUGCAAGCGUUAUUCGGAAUCAUUGGGCGUAAAGGGCGCGUAGGCGGCCUCUUAAGUCAGAUGUGAAAGCCCGGGGCUUAACCCCGGAAGUGCAUUUGAAACUGAGAAGCUUGAGUAUGGGAGAGGGAAGUGGAAUUCCUGGUGUAGAGGUGAAAUUCAUAGAUAUCAGGAGGAACACCGGUGGCGAAGGCGGCUUCCUGGACCAAUACUGACGCUGAGGCGCGAAGGCGUGGGUAGCAAACAGGAUUAGAUACCCUGGUAGUCCACGCAGUAAACGUUGAACACUAGGUGUAGCGGGUAUUGACCCCUGCUGUGCCGCAGUUAACGCAUUAAGUGUUCCGCCUGGGAAGUACGGCCGCAAGGUUAAAACUCAAAGGAAUUGACGGGGGCCCGCACAAGCGGUGGAGCAUGUGGUUUAAUUCGACGCAACGCGAAGAACCUUACCUGGGUUUGACAUCCCGAGAAGUCUCUUGAAAGAGAGAUGUGCCCUUCGGGGAAUUCGGAGACAGGUGCUGCAUGGCUGUCGUCAGCUCGUGUCGUGAGAUGUUGGGUUAAGUCCCGCAACGAGCGCAACCCUUAUCUUUAGUUACCAGCAUUCAGUUGGGGACUCUAAAGAUACUGCCCCGGUUAACGGGGAGGAAGGUGGGGAUGACGUCAAGUCCUCAUGGCCCUUAUACCCAGGGCUACACACGUGCUACAAUGGGCUGUACAAAGGGUCGCGAGCCCGCGAGGGUUAGCUAAUCCCAGAAAGCAGCUCUAAGUUCGGAUUGGAGUCUGCAACUCGACCCCAUGAAGCUGGAAUCGCUAGUAAUCGUGGAUCAGCACGCCACGGUGAAUACGUUCCCGGGCCUUGUACACACCGCCCGUCACACCAUGAGAGUUGGUUGUACCAGAAGUUGUUGGACCAACCCGCAAGGGGGGUAAGCACCUAAGGUGUGGCUGAUGGUUGGGGUGAAGUCGAAACAAGGUA
RNAcentral lists this ribosomal RNA (1232 nucleotides) under metagenome. Its description in RNAcentral is "bacterial SSU rRNA". It matches the Rfam family "Bacterial small subunit ribosomal RNA", at positions 278 to 1498 of the family's 1533-position model. The record is from RNAcentral.